RNAcentral lists this ribosomal RNA (365 nucleotides) under uncultured eukaryote. RNAcentral describes it as "partial 18S ribosomal RNA". It matches the Rfam family "Eukaryotic small subunit ribosomal RNA", at positions 592 to 975 of the family's 1831-position model. The record is from RNAcentral.
CAAUAGCGUAUAUUAACGUUGUUGCAGUUAAAAAGCUCGUAGUUGGAUUUCUGGAGGGAGCGUCGGCCCGUAUUUACGAGUGCGUGACGUCUCUGUCCAUCCUUGCGGGAAGGCACGGCAUUGAUUUGUUGUGUCGGAUCGCAUCAUUUACUGUGAAAAAAUUAGAGUGUUCAAAGCAGGCUUUCGCUUGAAUACAUUAGCAUGGAAUAAUAAGAUAGGACUUUGGUGCUAUUUUGUUGGUUGAGCCUAAAGUAAUGAUUAAUAGGGAUAGUUGGGGGCACCUGUAUUGCGUUGUCAGAGGUGAAAUUCUUGGAUUUACGCAAGACAAACAGCUGCGAANGNGUCUGGNAAGGAUGUUUNCAUUG